GAUGAACGCUGGCGGCGUGCCUAAUGCAUGCAAGUCGAGCGAACAGACGAGGAGCUUGCUCCUCUGACGUUAGCGGCGGACGGGUGAGUAACACGUGGAUAACCUACCUAUAAGACUGGGAUAACUUCGGGAAACCGGAGCUAAUACCGGAUAAUAUAUUGAACCGCAUGGUUCAAUAGUGAAAGACGGUUUUGCUGUCACUUAUAGAUGGAUCCGCGCCGCAUUAGCUAGUUGGUAAGGUAACGGCUUACCAAGGCAACGAUGCGUAGCCGACCUGAGAGGGUGAUCGGCCACACUGGAACUGAGCCACGGUCCAGACUCCUACGGGAGGCAGCAGUAGGGAAUCUUCCGCAAUGGGCGAAAGCCUGACGGAGCAACGCCGCGUGAGUGAUGAAGGUCUUCGGAUCGUAAAACUCUGUUAUUAGGGAAGAACAAAUGUGUAAGUAACUAUGCACGUCUUGACGGUACCUAAUCAGAAAGCCACGGCUAACUACGUG
RNAcentral lists this ribosomal RNA (497 nucleotides) under uncultured bacterium. Its description in RNAcentral is "partial 16S ribosomal RNA". It matches the Rfam family "Bacterial small subunit ribosomal RNA", at positions 28 to 507 of the family's 1533-position model. The record is from RNAcentral.